GAAAUGCGAGGCCUGCGCGGCCUGCUCGCGGCAAUUUCCGGCCUGGUGGGCGGAUCGGGGCUCGGCUUGUGUUGUGCCCGAGUCGUCGCGGGUCGGGGGCGUUUGGCCCGCUCUGCCGAAGGCCCAGCGCCUGGAGCGGAGCCGGACGCACGGGGCGCCCAGCGUUGGCCGAAUGCUGACAGCCUCGCCGACAGGUGCUUAGGGGCCGCGGUGAGAGCGGCCGCGGGACGGCCGCGGCCUCGGCCGGUGGCUCGGUGCGAAGGCGGAGCAGGCUGGUGGUACAGGGACUCUGGCGCUCUCGUGCGUUUGCUUAAAACAAAAGACAAAACCCAGGGAGCAGGUGUGACAAAAAGUUAGGUUUGAUGCUGGAUGGUGGGAAUGGGGGUGCGGGCUUCUUUGCACUUUCCUCUCGCCUUCAGUUUUCUGAGAAGAAAAAGUAAGAAUAGCACCUCGGAAAACUCUGGGGACUUCUAAGUCCAAACGGUUUUAUCAGUCCUGUUAUCGGGCCCCAGAGACCAAGCUCUGGAGUUGCGAUGUUACAGAAAUGAACACUGAACUGGAAAGAAAGCAGUUUAUUAGAUAGAUACAAGGGAGCUGACAAGAAAGAGGAAUGUCAGCUCCCCGAGGGGGUUGUGCGUAAGGCUUUUAAAGGCAUCUAAAGAGGGUGAGGGUUCUGGCCGGAGCGGUGUUGAUGAAUUGUUCCGGACGUUACCUCCGUCGUUCUGGUGCCUCCGCUUAGUGGUCAGCAGAUGUUAACUGACAGGCUUUCCCAAAACAUGGUCAGGGACCUCCCUUGAUGUUUCUAUAAGAUAAACAGACACAAAAUAAUUUUUGUAAUUUCUUUCUUCCCCAAGGCAAUGAUUCUUAUUGCAAAAACAGGGACUGGGCAUUGAUCCUUGGGAGUGUUCGUUCUGGCUUAAGAUUUGGCUGGCUGGUUGUUGACCGUAUGGCCAGUUUAUGGCUUACGAUACAUUUUUCUUAGAAGACAUUUUGGGAAUUUUUACCUUUUAACCUUUAAGCCUCAAGAUGGAGGUUUAACUUAAAAUGGAGUCCCUCUUGUUCUUCCUUAUGCUGGCUCACGUCCAGUCUGACAAAGGUCACAGCUACUCAGUCACGUGGGUGAAGAGGCCAAGGUGCAGAGAGAGGAGCGGCUGGCUUUUCCUGUGUUCCUUAGUUGCCGGCCCCCAGGGAGGCCCUGGAACUCUGGCGUAGCUCCCGCUUUGGCCCUGCAGUCCCCGCAGUCUGCCCUGGGUGGAGGGCUGGAGCCUGUGGCCUCCUCAAGUGGGGUGCAGCCUGUGCAUCACAUUUGUGAGGACCAAGCCUCUAUUUUGCUUUGCUACCUUUAAAAGCGUUCAUAGUGUUGAAUGCACACUUGCUGUGUGCCCUGCCUGGUGCCAGCUGCAGGAGGAGGCAAACAGCCAAAUCCAGAAUGUGGGAUGUUUGGACCAUGACCCAGCUAGUUAAUUAAGGCCUGGAGGUAAAAAAAAAGGAAGUAAGGCUGUUUGAGAAUAAAAGGGUUUAGAAUACCUCAUCUGUGGAAUGUGUGGACCUUACCUGGAUCACGGUCAAACAAGCCACCUGUAAAGACAUUUAUGAGGCAGUAGGGGACAUUUUAAUAUAAAUAGUAUUAGGUGAUAAUAUUUACUGAUAUUUUUGUUAGGGAGAGAUAAUGGCCUGGUGGUUAGUUAAAAAUGUCCUAAUAAUCAUUUAGAGAUGCAAAUGGAAUUACUUGCAGUAAAUUGCCAGUGUGUGGGAUUUGCUUUAUAAAUACUCUGGUUAAAAAAAAAUGAUAAAAACCCGAAUGGCAAAAUUGAUUGAAGUGGCAAAGUUAAAAUUGGAUGAGGAAUACAAUGGGAAUCAUGACUUGUAUGUUUGAAAUUUUUUGUAAUACAGUUUAAAAUGAUGGUAUUCAUGUUUCUCAUUGGCUGUGACCAGUGAGAAGUCACUUAAUUGCUCGUGGCUUUGAUCUCACCUGUAAAACUGGGGUCAUAAUUUAUUCUGUUUAUUCUGAGAUUUAAAAGCAAUACAAAUACUCAUUUCCUAACUCUUCUUGGGGCUUAGAAUCAGAAGGGCAUCUUGGCCAUAAAUAGCUCAUGGUGCAGCAUGGGGGCAGUCAACAGUUAUAGUGACUGUGUUCUGAGACAGAGACAAGCACAGGUUGUCGCAGUGGCAGUGCCACCCUGGGGACACUGAACCACCGGUGGUCUAGGCCAGUCAAAGCCACGCUCUGGAUGUGUAUCCAAAUGAUGAAUUUCCCUGAACAGCAGCCUUCCUGUCCUGCCGCCUCAUGGCCCCAGAGGGAACUGUGUCCAGAGGUGUCAUUUUCCGUGGGCUCUUGGGAGCCUGCUCUCGUAGUUCCGUGAGGUCUGGAACUUCCCGACCUGAGUGAGAGUCCUCUCCACGUGGAGAUGAGGCUGUGUGUGUGGGAAGACUCCUGGAUAACCCCACGGAAUGCGCUUCCAGCAAAAGGUGCGGGUGGCCUGGGCAGGGCCUGCAGGAAAGAACAAGCUAAACGGCACAUGGAGCCGCCAGCAGGGAUAGGGUGAUGCUUACAAAGAAAAGCGUCCUCAGGAGAAGGUUGUGCGGAUGGAUCAGUAGCACGUCGCCGUGGGUGUGAUGUUUGUAAGGGCGGCCGUAGGUGCCAAGCUCUGUGCAGAUGUCCCUUCUCAGAUCAGCCCCAAACAGGGCGAGGAGGGGACGACCUGGCCAGGUUAGGUAAUUUGCUCAAGGUCAUGCAGGCAGGAAAAGGCAGCUUCUGUGUAUUUGCCCCAACGGAUCCCAGCUUCCAGGUGACUGUCAGGGCUGAAGUCAGAACCCACUCAGUCUCGUGUAGAGUCAUGGCUGUUGCCCAGUUGCACCAUCAUCAUUGGUUUUUUUUGGCCCUCGGCAGGGCCAGGGCCUUAUAUCCAAGUCUGGAAAUAAACAAAUUUUUGAAGAUGUGGGUAUGAUGACUGUGGUGGGCACAGUUCUAGGAAGGGGCCCCAAGAUACCCACCCUCUCAUUCACUCAAAUGGUAAUCCAGGUGCUGUGGAGGGAGAAAGACUCAGAUCCGCUGCUGGUCUAAGCUGGAGGGGAGCAGGGACGGGUGGGGGGCGUUGGGGGCCUCCUAACAACAGAGAGUGGUCCCAGCUGGCUGCCCGCAAGGAAAUGAAGACCUCAGGCCUGCUGUCCCAAGGAGCGGAACUCAGUAGCCUGCACAAGCCCCCGGAAAAGAGCCCAGCCCGGCCGGCACCUUGAUCUUGGCCUUGUGAGACCUGGAGUGGAGAAUCCAGCUUCAUUAACUAAGCCGCAUAGUAACCCAUGAGGAUAUGGGGAAACUGAGAGAUACGCUCAUAUACUGUUGUCAUAGUGCUGGAAAAUAGCCUGUAAAUACUUACUAAAAUUAUAAAUACACACAUGCACAUUUCAGUAGAAAGUCCCACGUAUCUUAAAUAAACACCAGGGUAUGUACGGAUGUGAACGCAGGGAUGUUCAUUAUGGCAUGGUGUUGCCGGAAAGAAGUCAAACGAUCCAGAUGUCUUCAGGAGGUGAUCUGUUGACCAAAUGAUGAUGUACACAUACUAUGGCAUAUUAUGCAGUCAUUAAAAAUAGCUCUAACUUGAAAAAAAUAAAUCCAUAGCUUUUUAGUUUUACUAAAUUAUUGUUAACCACUGAUAGAUGAUGGAUGAACAAAAUAUAUACACAGAAUGAAAUAUUCAGCAUUAAAAAGGGAGAAAAAUUUAACGUUCUGCAACAUGGAUGAAACUUGAAAACAUCAUGCCAAGUGCAGUGAGCCGGACAACGAAAGGACAGGCACUGUGGGUUCACUUGUAGGGGUCACCCAGGAGAGGCGAGUCCACAGAGACAGGAGGUAGGUAGUGUGGUUGUUACCGGGGGCCGAGAGGGGGCGGGAGGUUGGGACGGAGUGUUCAUGGGGACGGUUCCUGUUUGGGAACAUUCUGGAGAUGACGGCAGGGAUGGUCAAGCAACACAGUGAAUGCACUUAAUAUCACUGAAUUAGGAGAGAAAUGCGCAUGGCUCAGCAUGAGCAUGGCUGUGCACACACCUCCAGCAUGUGCCAGUCCUUGGAGGCACGGAGCAGGUGGGGAG
Molecule: long non-coding RNA, 4089 nt
Organism: Manis pentadactyla (Chinese pangolin)
Lineage: Eukaryota; Metazoa; Chordata; Mammalia; Pholidota; Manidae
Exons: 3
Source: RefSeq, a predicted model, not a curated record